RNAcentral lists this unclassified non-coding RNA (2087 nucleotides) under Habropoda laboriosa. The record is from RNAcentral. Lineage: Eukaryota; Metazoa; Arthropoda; Insecta; Hymenoptera; Apidae.
UAAGUUUUAGAGAAAUUUUGACGUAACUGUGUAUUGUACGUUUUAUACGUAACUCGAAGAAUCGAAAAUGGGUUCAAAUAAACGACAUAAGACCGAGAAGAGUCGGGACGCUAAGAAGAAGCGUCACCGUAGCCGUUCAAGAAGUUACACGCCUGAGCGCGAGAAAUCGGAAAAGCACAGACAUCACAAAAAGCAUAGAAGAAAAGAACGCAAGGAUUAUGACAGCGAUGUCGAAAUAGUUAAUGCACCUCCCCCACCAAAAAUUUCUAAGUCAUCACAUCCAUCAACACCUCCACCUCCUGAAAUCUCUAAGCAACGUAGUCCUUCACCAAACAAAGGUGGUGGAACACAGACCUCCCUGUCUAUUGAGGAAACUAAUAAGUUGAGAGCAAAAUUAGGUUUAAAACCAUUAGAAGUUGACAGUGCUCCAAAAGAUGACCCUAAUAAGAUUAAAGAUGACUUGGGAGAAUUUUAUCACAAGCCUGCACCUGAUGUUAAUGAAAAGUUAAGGAGCCAGAAAUUAAAAGAAAAAAUUGGUACUCAGAAACAGAAAAGAUUAAUUGAGCAAAAUUUAGCAAAAAUAAAAAGUUUGGGUGAUUGUGAGUCUGAUGAUGACACAAAAUCUUGGAUUGAUAGAAACAGACGUUUGGAGGAGGAGAAGAAAAAAGCAGAAGAAAGAGCAAAAAUGUUAGAUCAGCUAGAUGAGGAAUUUGGUAUUGGAAAUUUAGUAAAAGAAGAAAUACACGCCGCUCGUAAUACAGCUUAUACUGAAAAGAAUUUAAAGGGUCUGAAAGUAGAACAUAAUUUCGAAAAAUUUCAAGAAGGCAAAACAGUUGUCUUGACAUUAAAAGAUCAAGAAGUAUUACAUGAAGGUGAAGAUGUACUUGUUAACGUGAAUAUAACGGACGAAGAGCGUUAUCAACGUAAUAUUUUAAAUAAGACUAAAAAACCUGGUUAUGAUGCAUACGAUGACGAUAACUUCGAUGAAUUUGGUUUUCCAAAGAAAACGGUUUUGGAAAAAUAUGACGAAGAGAUUGAGGGCCAAAAAAAAGAUAAUUUCGUAUUGGGAGUUAAUAUGAAAGAUGUUAAGCAGAAUAAACUCGAUUAUGUUAAGCAACGUUUAGCGAAUAAACGACUAGAAUCGUUACAGUUAACAGAGCCAAAACUAGCUAGUGAAUACUACAAUGAUGAUGAACUUACAAAGUUUAAGAAACCAAAGAAAAAGGUUCGCAAAAUUCGAAAAAAAUUGAAAGCAGAGGAUUUGAUUCCUGAAGAUAACGAUUAUCUUCGUGAUCUCGGUAGCAGGAGAAGCAAACGAACGGAAGAUGUGAAAGAUAACGAUGCUUUAGACGUAGACGAUUUAGGAGCUCCGGCCGAAGACCUCAGUGGAAUUAAACUGGAUGAGGAUGACAAAGAGAUGGAAUUACAAUUAGCAUGGAAAAAAGCUCAACGACUAAAAGAAUCACAAGCAUCAAGUAUCGAAAAAGUCGCUGAAAGCAUAAAACAAGAGCCCGCAGGUUCUGAAGAAAAUCAAUCUGGAAAUAUCGUUCUUAAUGCUACUGCAGAAUUUUGCAGAACCUUAGGAGACAUUCCUACUUACGGUCUUGCCGGAAACAGGGAAGAAAAUGGCCAAGAACUUAUGGACUUCGAAUUGGACGGGGUCAAAGAAGAACCACCAAUAAAUGAAGAGGAGGAUGAUGGUCGUGGCGCGUGGAAUACUGUGCAACUAGAUGAAAGUACAUCUGAACCAGUAGCAAUGGAAGCUGCGAUUUUAGACGCAGAGCCUUCACUCGGUCAAGGCGUUGGCGGGGCGUUAAAACUCGCAAUGAGCAAAGGUUAUCUGCAAAAAGAGGACAGUAGUAGACCUUCUGCGUCUCGUUUCGCGCACUUACAGGCCCAGAAUUACUCCAUAGAGGAUAAAACUUACGGUUAACAGUCGUAAAUAGAGAGCCCAAAUUUCGGUGCUCGGAAAAUGGAUGAUCCACUACCGCAACAAGAGAUUAACUACUUUGUCGGAGAUGAUCAAAGGCCCGAGAAGAGAGUAGGAUUGAUAGAGGGACGAUGAUAAAUUUGGGAGAAGAGAUCGU